CGCAGCAAUUACGUGAAUGGUGCCCUCCCGCUUCUCAGCCGGAGGGUGAAACGGGAAGCCGGUGACAUGCGAGAUUUUCAUUUCGCACCAGUCCGGCGCAGCCCCCGCUGCUGUAAGCCUGACGACUCUGAUCAACCGCCACUGCGCAUCGCGCGGGAAGGCAAGAACAGGGAAGGAUGAGGGCGAGCCAGAAGACCGGCCAGUCACGAUGCAUGCGC
This 218-nucleotide non-coding RNA is filed under the name Massilia sp. NR 4-1. Lineage: Bacteria; Pseudomonadati; Pseudomonadota; Betaproteobacteria; Burkholderiales; Oxalobacteraceae. The record is from RNAcentral. RNAcentral also lists the same sequence under 1 other name.